This 83-nucleotide transfer RNA is filed under the name hydrothermal vent metagenome. RNAcentral's name for it is "tRNA-Leu-GAG". It matches the Rfam family "tRNA". Rfam says of the family: Transfer RNA (tRNA) molecules are approximately 80 nucleotides in length. Their secondary structure includes four short double-helical elements and three loops (D, anti-codon, and T loops). The record is from RNAcentral.
GCGCGAGUGGCGGAAUUGGUAGACGCGCAUGCUUGAGGGGCAUGUGACCCUAGGUCAUGAGAGUUCAAGUCUCUCCUCGCGCA